CUCCGCGUACUGCUGAGACCUGUCUGCUGCAGCAGUCUCACUCCCUGAUCACGGAAAAGCCUAUUCUUGUUUAUGAGCAGAGCAGUCAUUAAGCUGUUACCAGAGUCUGACUUGCACAAUCAACCUCC
This is a small nucleolar RNA of Meriones unguiculatus (Mongolian gerbil), 128 nucleotides long. The record is from Ensembl. NCBI's taxonomy places the organism in Eukaryota, Metazoa, Chordata, Mammalia, Rodentia, Muridae.